This 235-nucleotide ribosomal RNA is filed under the name uncultured bacterium. RNAcentral's name for it is "partial 16S ribosomal RNA". It matches the Rfam family "Bacterial small subunit ribosomal RNA", at positions 99 to 334 of the family's 1533-position model. The record is from RNAcentral.
CGGACGGGUGAGUAACGCGUGGGUAACCUGCCUCAUACAGGGGGAUAACAGUUAGAAAUGACUGCUAAUACCGCAUAAGACCACAGCACCGCAUGGUGCAGGGGUAAAAACUCCGGUGGUAUGAGAUGGACCCGCGUCUGAUUAGCUGGUUGGUGGGGUAACGGCCUACCAAGGCGACGAUCAGUAGCCGACCUGAGAGGGUGACCGGCCACAUUGGGACUGAGACACGGCCCAA